This 468-nucleotide ribosomal RNA is filed under the name uncultured bacterium. Its description in RNAcentral is "partial 16S ribosomal RNA". It matches the Rfam family "Bacterial small subunit ribosomal RNA", at positions 28 to 507 of the family's 1533-position model. The record is from RNAcentral.
GACGAACGCUGGCGGCGUGCUUAACACAUGCAAGUCGAACGGAAAGGCCCUGCUUUUGUGGGGUGCUCGAGUGGCGAACGGGUGAGUAACACGUGAGUAACCUGCCCUUGACUUUGGGAUAACUUCAGGAAACUGGGGCUAAUACCGGAUAGGAGCUCCUGCUGCAUGGUGGGGGUUGGAAAGUUUCGGCGGUUGGGGAUGGACUCGCGGCUUAUCAGCUUGUUGGUGGGGUAGUGGCUUACCAAGGCUUUGACGGGUAGCCGGCCUGAGAGGGUGACCGGCCACAUUGGGAAUGAGAUACGGCCCAGACUCCUACGGGAGGCAGAAGUGGGGAAUAUUGCAAAAUGGGCGGAAGCCUGAUGCAGCAACGCCGCGUGCGGGAUGACGGCCUUCGGGUUGUAAACCGCUUUCGCCUGUGACGAAGCGUGAGUGACGGUAAUGGGUAAAGAAGCACCGGCUAACUACGUG